UGCCUAACACAUGCAAGUCGUACGAGAGGGCCAUUUCGGUGGUUAGUAAAGUGGCGCACGGGUGAGUUAUACGUAGAUAAUCUACCCCAUUGUCUGGGAUAACUCCCUGAAAAGGGAGCUAAUACCGGGUAUUGAUCACAAAGCAUAAGUUUUGUGAUCUAAAGCUUAGGCGCACUGGGAUGGGUCUGCGCUCCAUUAGCUAGUUGGUGUGGUAAUGGCUCACCAAGGCUACGAUGGAUAACGGGUUUGAGAGGAUGAUCCGUCACACUGGGACUGAGAUACGGUCCAGACUCCUACGGGAGGCAGCAGUGGGGAAUAUUGCGCAAUGGAGGAAACUCUGACGCAGCAAUGCCGCGUGAGUGAAGAAGGCCUUCGGGUCGUAAAGCUC
This 388-nucleotide ribosomal RNA is filed under the name uncultured organism. Its description in RNAcentral is "bacterial SSU rRNA". It matches the Rfam family "Bacterial small subunit ribosomal RNA", at positions 45 to 433 of the family's 1533-position model. The record is from RNAcentral.